Molecule: unclassified non-coding RNA, 496 nt
Filed under: Malbranchea albolutea
Lineage: Eukaryota; Fungi; Ascomycota; Eurotiomycetes; Onygenales; Malbrancheaceae
Description: sequence contains 28S rRNA gene
Rfam family: Eukaryotic large subunit ribosomal RNA
Source: RNAcentral
GCGGCAAAAGCUCAAAUUUGAAAUCUGGCUCCUUCCGGGGUCCGAGUUGUAAUUUGCAGAGGAUGCUUUGGGUGCACCCGCGGCGUAAGUCCCUUGGAACAGGGCGUCAUAGAGGGUGAGAAUCCCGUCUUGAGUCGCUGGCGUGUGCCCGUGCAAAGCUCCUUCGACGAGUCGAGUUGUUUGGGAAUGCAGCUCUAAUUGGGUGGUAAAUUUCAUCUAAAGCUAAAUACUGGCCGGAGACCGAUAGCGAACAAGUAGAGUGAUCGAAAGGUUAAAAGCACCUUGAAAAGGGAGUUAAAUAGCACGUGAAAUUGUUGAAAGGGAAGCGCUUGCGACCAGACUCGGGCGCGGAGGCUCAACGGGCAUGUUUGCCCGUGUACUCCUUCGUGCCCGGGCCAGCAUCAGUUCUGGCGGUUGGUAAAAGGCCCCGGGAAUGUAUCAUCCUCCGGGAUGUCUUAUAGCCCGGGGUGUAAUGCGGCCAGCCGGGACUGAGGAA